UGUACAACUCUUAUCGAUAAGCCAUUGGAGGGCAAGUCUGGUGCCAGCAGCCGCGGUAAUUCCAGCUCCAAUAGCGUAUAUUAACGUUGUUGCAGUUAAAAAGCUCGUAGUUGAAGUGUGGGUGAUCGCUGUUGUGAGACUUCGGUCUCUCGACAGUAAGUCACCCCCUUCCAGUAUCCAGUAGUGGGUAUUCAGUUACUUACUAUUGUGUGUUGGUCGUUUACUGUGAGAAAAUUAGAGUGUUCAAAGCAGGCGUUUGCUUGAAUAGAUUAGCAUGGAAUAAUAAUUGAAGGCUUUCGUGUUCGAUUUGAUUGGUUUGUUCAUGGAAGCAAGGUUAAAAGGAACAGUUGGGGGUAUUCAUAUUCACUAGUUAGAGGUGAAAUUCUCGGAUUUAUGGAAGAUGAACAA
Molecule: ribosomal RNA, 408 nt
Filed under: Blastocystis hominis
Lineage: Eukaryota; Bigyra; Opalinata; Blastocystidae
Description: SSU rRNA
Rfam family: Eukaryotic small subunit ribosomal RNA
Source: RNAcentral